UAAGGAAUAUUGGACAAUGGAGGCAACUCUGAUCCAGCCAUGCCGCGUGAAGGAAUAAGGCCCUAUGGGUUGUAAACUUCUUUUAGACGGGACAAAACCCCUUUACGUGUUAAGGGUUGAUGGUACUGUCAGAAUAAGCAUCGGCUAACUUCGUGCCAGCAGCCGCGGUAAUACGAAGGAUGCAAGCGUUAUCCGGAAUUAUUGGGUUUAAAGGGUGCGUAGGCGGACUAAUAAGUCAGUGGUGAAAGCCUGCAGCUUAACUGCAGAAUUGCCAUGGAUACUGUUAGUCUUGAGUACAGUUGAGGUAGGCGGAAUGUGUCAUGUAGCGGUGAAAUGCUUAGAUAUGACACAGAACACCGAUUGCGAAGGCAGCUUGCUAAGCUGUAACUGACGCUGAGGCACGAAAGCGUGGGGAGCAAACA
This 422-nucleotide ribosomal RNA is filed under the name uncultured bacterium. RNAcentral's name for it is "bacterial SSU rRNA". It matches the Rfam family "Bacterial small subunit ribosomal RNA", at positions 355 to 774 of the family's 1533-position model. The record is from RNAcentral.